GUACCCUGGUAGUCCACGCUGUAAACGAUGUCGACUUGGAGGUUGUUCCCUUGAGGAGUGGCUUCCGGAGCUAACGCGUUAAGUCGACCGCCUGGGGAGUACGGCCGCAAGGUUAAAACUCAAAUGAAUUGACGGGGGCCCGCACAAGCGGUGGAGCAUGUGGUUUAAUUCGAUGCAACGCGAAGAACCUUACCUACUCUUGACAUCCAGAGAACUUAGCAGAGAUGCUUUGGUGCCUUCGGGAACUCUGAGACAGGUGCUGCAUGGCUGUCGUCAGCUCGUGUUGUGAAAUGUUGGGUUAAGUCCCGCAACGAGCGCAACCCUUAUCCUUUGUUGCCAGCGGUUCGGCCGGGAACUCAAAGGAGACUGCCAGUGAUAAACUGGAGGAAGGUGGGGAUGACGUCAAGUCAUCAUGGCCCUUACGAGUAGGGCUACACACGUGCUACAAUGGCAUAUACAAAGAGAAGCGACCUCGCGAGAGCAAGCGGACCUCAUAAAGUAUGUCGUAGUCCGGAUUGGAGUCUGCAACUCGACUCCAUGAAGUCGGAAUCGCUAGUAAUCGUAGAUCAGAAUGCUACGGUGAAUACGUUCCCGGGCCUUGUACACACCGCCCGUCACACCAUGGGAGUGGGUUGCAAAAGAAGUAGGUAGC
RNAcentral lists this ribosomal RNA (652 nucleotides) under bacterium LB-170. Its description in RNAcentral is "bacterial SSU rRNA". It matches the Rfam family "Bacterial small subunit ribosomal RNA", at positions 782 to 1434 of the family's 1533-position model. The record is from RNAcentral.